Long non-coding RNA from Suricata suricatta (meerkat), 1120 nucleotides. RefSeq lists it as uncharacterized. The transcript has 2 exons. The record is from RefSeq and is a predicted model, not a curated record. Lineage: Eukaryota; Metazoa; Chordata; Mammalia; Carnivora; Herpestidae.
AUGCGUGGACCCCACAUAAACGGCCCCUGUGGGUUUGUUCUGACUUCCUGGGGCCCUCCCACCCGCUGCUGCCGCCAUGAGGAAGUCAGACAUGCCAGUUUGUACUUUACUCUUUCUGGACCCAACCAGGAACGAUCCCAGAAGUUUGAAAUUUGAAAACAAAGACGCGAAGAAAUGCUGACCCUGCCGGCCCAGGGCGCCGACCACCCUCUGCUCUCUGUCGAUCUGGAGUCGGAUUUAAAAUGAAAAUUCUGCCUGAUUCUCACUCUGACGGCACUUGGGGACCUCCUGGAGGCCGUGGACCUGACUGGAGACAAAUGUCACCCCCUUUCCCUGGCCCCUCAUCCCUGACGGACCCACGUUGGCCCUGGUCGAAGGACAGAGAUGGCGACAAACAUGCCUAAGCCUCAGCCCCCACACCUCGUGCGUGGUGUGGACCCACGCAGAGCAAGCUUUCCUGAAAGAGAAACCUUCCCACUCCGCGCUGGAAGAGCAGAAACAAAAUAAAAAGUCGCUGCAACUAAUGACUCUGGAAGUGGCUUCCCUGUGCUCUGGGUCCCUCGCAGGGAAAUUGGAAUUGCAUUUCUUUACAAAGCCGCGGCUUCCAAGGAGCAUUCUGGGGCUCGGGUCCGACGGACCGGUGCGCUCCGCCCCCGGCAGGCUGGCGAGGCGAACCGGGGCCUCCGUUUCCUCCGUGACACCUGAUCGCCGUCCCCGCCAAGGGCCCCUGCCCGCGACAGCAGCACAAAAACAUUGCGACUCAACGCUGAACUCCCUUCCUGAAUCUGGCGGGGGCCCGUGGGGGCCGCGGGCCGGGGAGAAGCCCCGCGUGCACCCGAGGCCACCGGACCCUGGCCACGCAGCCACGGGCGAGGCGGCCCACGGCGCCCUGCCUGCCUGAAGUUCCGUCGGCAACUUUGCGUGGCAGAAAUGUAACAGAAAAAUAAAUCGGUGCCUAAUGGCUUCAGAGAGCCGAGGGGGACACAAUUAUGUGACAUCUGCAUGCUAAUGUAGCAGACCGGAGGCUCAAAAGCACUGGAGAGCACACUCCAAAUUCCUGCCGUGAUAAGGGGCCUCUGUGUUCAGCGAGGGCCGCGUAAAAGAUUUUUUAUGAUAAUUA